RNAcentral lists this ribosomal RNA (253 nucleotides) under uncultured prokaryote. RNAcentral's name for it is "partial 16S ribosomal RNA". It matches the Rfam family "Bacterial small subunit ribosomal RNA", at positions 525 to 777 of the family's 1533-position model. The record is from RNAcentral.
ACGAAGGGGGCUAGCGUUGUUCGGAUUUACUGGGCGUAAAGCGCACGUAGGCGGUUUGUUAAGUCAGGGGUGAAAUCCUGGAGCUCAACUCCAGAACUGCCUUUGAUACUGGAGAGCUUGAGUCCGGGAGAGGUGAGUGGAACUCCGAGUGUAGAGGUGAAAUUCGUAGAUAUUCGGAAGAACACCAGUGGCGAAGGCGGCUCACUGGCCCGGUACUGACGCUGAGGUGCGAAAGCGUGGGGAGCAAACAGGA